RNAcentral lists this ribosomal RNA (459 nucleotides) under uncultured bacterium. Its description in RNAcentral is "partial 16S ribosomal RNA". It matches the Rfam family "Bacterial small subunit ribosomal RNA", at positions 338 to 795 of the family's 1533-position model. The record is from RNAcentral.
CCUACGGGAGGCAGCAGUGAGGAAUAUUGGUCAAUGGCCGCAAGCCUGAACCAGCCAAGUCGCGUGAGGGACGACUGCCCUAUGGGUUGUAAACCUCUUUUAUAAGGGAAUAAUAUAUGCGACGUGUAGCAUGAUGCCUGUACCUUAUGAAUAAGCAUCGGCUAACUCCGUGCCAGCAGCCGCGGUAAUACGGAGGAUGCGAGCGUUAUCCGGAUUUAUUGGGUUUAAGGGGUUCGUAGGCGGUUUUUAAAGUUAGUGGUAAAACGUUGGGGCUUAACCUUGAUGUGCCAUUAAUACUGUAAGACUCGAGUUCAGACGAGGUAGGCGGAAUAAGUGAAGUAGCGGUGAAAUGCUUAGAUAUAACUUAGAACUCCGAUAGCGAAGGCAGCUUACCAGACUGCGACUGACGCUGAAGCACGAGAGCGUGGGUAGCGAACAGGAUUAGAUACCCUGGUAGUC